UCUUGGGGGCUGAUUUUUGGGCGCGGCUGUGCCCGUGGCCUAUUUUUGGCAAACGGAGGCCGCCCGCCAAGUAUGGUGCCAUUCCGAGUCCCGCGGACGAACUUCGCCCACGCCCCCCACCAAGGCUAUAGCCCACCCUUUUUUUGGCCAUUUUUCCGCUGGGGGGUCCUGGGACCCCGACCUUCGGGGGCUGAUUUUUGGGCGCGGCUGUGCCCGUGGCCUAUUUUUGGCACACGGAGGCCGCCCGCCAAGUCUGGGUCCAUUCCGUGUCCCGCGGACUAACUUCGCCCACGCCCCCCACCAAGGCUAUAGCCCACCCUUUUUUUGGCCAUUUUUCCGCUGGGGGGUCCUGGGACCCCGACCUUCGGGGGCUGAUUUUUGGGCGCGGCUGUGCCCGUGGCCUAUUUUUGGCACACGGAGGCCGCCCGCCAAGUAUGGUGCCAUUCCGUGUCCCGCGGACGAACUUCGCCCACGCCCCCCACCAAGGCUAUAGCCCACCCGUUUUUGGCCAUUUUUCCGCUGGGGGGUCCUGGGACCCCGACCUUCGGGGGCUGAUUUUUGGGCGCGGCUGUGCCCGUGGCCUAUUUUUGGCACACGGAGGACACCCGCCAAGUAUGGUGCCAUUCCGAGUCCCGCGGACGAACUUCGCCCACGCCCCCCACCAAGGCUAUAGCCCACCCGUUUUUUGGCCAUUUUUCCGCUGGGGGGUCUUGGGACCCCGACCUUCGGGGGCUGAUUUUUGGGCUCGGCUGUGCCCGUGGCCUAUUUUUGGCACACGGAGGCCGCCCGCCAAGUAUGGUGCCAUUCCGAGUCCCCCGGACGAACUUCGCCCACGCCCCCCACCAAGGCUAUAGCCCACCCGUUUUUUGGCCAUUUUUGCGCUGGGGGGUCUUGGGUCCCCGACCAUCGGGGGCUGAUUUUUGGGUGUGGCUGUGCCCGUGGGCUAUUUUUGGCACACAGAGGCCGCCCGCCAAUUAUGGUGCCAUUCCGAGUCGCGCGGACGAACUUCGCCCACGCCCCCCACCAAGGCUAUAGCCCACCCGUUUUUUGGCCAUUUUUCCGCUGGGGGGUCUUGGGACCCCAACCUUCGGGGGCUGAUUUUUGGGAGCGGCUGUGCCCGUGGCCUAUUUUUGGCACACGGAUGCCCCCCGCCAAGUCUGGUGCGAUUCCGAGUCUCGCGGACGAACUUCGCCCACGCCGCCCACCAAGGCUAUAGACCACCCGUUUUUUGGCCAUUUUUCCGCUGGGGGGUCUUGGGACCCCGACCUUCGGGGGCUGAUUUUUGGGAGCGGCUGUGCCCGUGGCCUAUUUUUGGCACACGGAUGCCCCCCGCCAAGUCUGGU
RNAcentral lists this long non-coding RNA (1343 nucleotides) under Citrus x clementina. RNAcentral describes it as "Citrus clementina (C. clementina) long non-coding RNA (CCLE_LNC005799)". The record is from RNAcentral. Lineage: Eukaryota; Viridiplantae; Streptophyta; Magnoliopsida; Sapindales; Rutaceae.